RNAcentral lists this ribosomal RNA (492 nucleotides) under uncultured bacterium. RNAcentral's name for it is "partial 16S ribosomal RNA". It matches the Rfam family "Bacterial small subunit ribosomal RNA", at positions 29 to 507 of the family's 1533-position model. The record is from RNAcentral.
AGUGAACGCUGGCGGUAGGCCUAACACAUGCAAGUCGAACGGCAGCACAGUAAGAGCUUGCUCGUACGGGUGGCGAGUGGCGGACGGGUGAGGAAUACAUCGUAAUCUACUUUUUCGUGGGGGAUAACGUAGGGAAACUUACGCUAAUACCGCAUACGACCUACGGGUGAAAGCAGGGGAUCUUCGGACCUUGCGCGAUUGAAUGAGCCGAUGUCGGAUUAGCUAGUUGGCGGGGUAAAGGCCUACCAAGGCGACGAUCCGUAGCUGGUCUGAGAGGAUGAUCAGACACACUGGAACUGAGACACGGUCCAGACUCCUACGGGAGGCAGCAGUGGGGAAUAUUGGACAAUGGGCGCAAGCCUGAUCCAGCCAUACCGCGUGGGUGAAGAAGGCCUUCGGGUUGUAAAGCACUUUUGUUGGGAAAGAAAAGCAGCAGGUUAAUACCCCGCUGUUCUGACGGUACCCAAAGAAUAAGCACCGGCUAACUUCGUG